This 74-nucleotide transfer RNA is filed under the name Phycisphaerales bacterium. RNAcentral's name for it is "tRNA-Arg". It matches the Rfam family "tRNA". From Rfam's summary of the family: Transfer RNA (tRNA) molecules are approximately 80 nucleotides in length. The record is from RNAcentral. Lineage: Bacteria; Pseudomonadati; Planctomycetota; Phycisphaerae; Phycisphaerales.
GCGCUCGUAGCUCAGUUGGAUAGAGCAACGCUUUCCUAAAGCGUAGGUCGCAGGUUCGAACCCCGCCGGGCGUA